RNAcentral lists this transfer RNA (76 nucleotides) under Cordylochernes scorpioides. RNAcentral describes it as "tRNA-Thr". The record is from RNAcentral. Lineage: Eukaryota; Metazoa; Arthropoda; Arachnida; Pseudoscorpiones; Chernetidae.
AGUGUCAAGGGAUGGGAAUCGAAGCCACGACCUUCCGCUUACCGGACAGAUGCCAUGACCACUAGGCCACAUGACC